CAUGGACUGCAGGAGGGGCAGAUGUUUUGUAGUAGAACCUGUUCUACCAAGUGUGUGAAUGCGUUAAGCCUCUCCCUUGGUAGAGGACCCAGGCAGCUUCAUUGGAGAGCCAGUCAAAGCAGUUCAGCCUGAUCGAGUCAUUAACCCUGUGCCUUGCUCCAUUGUGUCUUUCUUCCAUCAGCAUAACUGCAGUUGGACAACAAAAUAUCUCCUGGUGUUAAAACUGUCACUAGUAGAAAAAUCAUGGGCUCCUGGAAAUGCUGCUGAGAUUACAGGCAUGACCAGAAGCUUUUUGAGAAAAUAGUCAAGAAACCAUGAAAUAAAAUGAAUUAUUUGAAUUGGAAUAAAAAAAUAAAAUGGACUUCCUUCUGACACAAAGGCUUCUCUGACACAAAGUUAUACAAUAUGACUAACUGCCAGGAUCCACCCACCAUUAUGGACUUUACUUGAAUUCUUAUUUUUGUCAGGAAAUUUUGAAAGUCUCCCCA
Molecule: long non-coding RNA, 488 nt
Organism: Mastomys coucha (southern multimammate mouse)
Lineage: Eukaryota; Metazoa; Chordata; Mammalia; Rodentia; Muridae
Exons: 5
Source: RefSeq, a predicted model, not a curated record